AUGGCGGAUUCCAUGCUGCCAUUGCCCCCGCUGCAUUGCCUGGCUCUCUCGUUUGCCCAGCUGCUGCUGCUGCUUCUCCUUACUUCCACGCAAGCCGAGGGCCAUGCCACACCAGCAGCACGGCACUACACUUCGCUGAGAUCCCAAGCGGGGGUGCUUCUCCACUGGAAAUCAUCAAUCGAAUAUUCCAAGCACAUGGGAACCUGGAGAGACGAUGGCAUGUACCCAUGCAACUGGACUGGCAUCACCUGCGGUGACACUCGGCUGCAUGGAGGAACCACGGUGAAGGUCAUCAGAGGAAUUUCCCUUGUUGGUGCCGGCAUUGCAGGGAAACUGGACACCCUGAGAUUCCAGUCGCUCCCUUACCUCAUCAAACUCGACCUCAGCGACAAUCAUCAUCUCUCUGGUGCCAUCCCACCUGGCAUCGGCUCUCUUUCCAUGCUUUUCACCCUCAACUUCUCUGGUGAUCAGCUUAGUGGGCACAUACCUGCAACAAUCUGCAACCUUGGGAGGCUUGCACAUCUGGACCUCUCCAGCAACAAUCUGGCUGGCCAAAUCCCUCCUGCCUUCGGUAAUCUCUCAAGACUUGCUUUUCUCUAUCUACCUGGCAAUAGGCUCUCAGGUAGCGUCCCAUGGAACCUAGGACAGCUUCAGAACAUGAGAGAGAUGGAUUUGAGCUGGAAUAUCCUUUCUGGCCAAAUACCUUCCUCCUUUGCAAACCUGAGGAACCUCAACGCUCUUGGUCUUUCUGAUAAUCGUCUGUCAGGACCCAUACCUGAAGAGCUAGGACAAGUCCAAACCCUACAAGUGCUAUACUUGCAAAAAAACAGGCUGAACGGUGCAAUUCCGCCCUCCCUUGGAAACCUCACAAUGCUCACAUUCUUGUACCUAUAUCGGAACCAGCACACUGGUCAGAUCCCGGUAGAGCUAGGGACGCUCUCGAGCUUGAUUGAAUUUGAUUUGUCAGAGAACCAUUUGACCGGCACUGUUCCUUUUUGUGUUGCUGGAAAUCUUACUUCACUGGCCUAUUUUUCUCUUUGGGGUAACCACAUAACCAAAUCCAUCCCUCAUGAGUUUGGAAAUCUCGUGAAUCUGAAAUCCUUGACCUCUCUGAAAAUUUCAUAG
Molecule: ribosomal RNA, 1125 nt
Filed under: Triticum aestivum (bread wheat)
Lineage: Eukaryota; Viridiplantae; Streptophyta; Magnoliopsida; Poales; Poaceae
Description: partial small subunit ribosomal RNA
Source: RNAcentral